RNAcentral lists this ribosomal RNA (497 nucleotides) under uncultured bacterium. Its description in RNAcentral is "partial 16S ribosomal RNA". It matches the Rfam family "Bacterial small subunit ribosomal RNA", at positions 28 to 507 of the family's 1533-position model. The record is from RNAcentral.
GAUGAACGCUGGCGGCGUGCCUAAUACAUGCAAGUCGAGCGAACAGACGAGGAGCUUGCUCCUCUGACGUUAGCGGCGGACGGGUGAGUAACACGUGGAUAACCUACCUAUAAGACUGGGAUAACUUCGGGAAACCGGAGCUAAUACCGGAUAAUAUAUUGAACCGCAUGGUUCAAUAGUGAAAGACGGUUUUGCUGUCACUUAUAGAUGGAUCCGCGCCGCAUUAGCUAGUUGGUAAGGUAACGGCUUACCAAGGCAACGAUGCGUAGGCGACCUGAGAGGGUGAUCGGCCACACUGGAACUGGGCCACGGUCCAGACUCCUACGGGAGGCAGCAGUAGGGAAUCUUCCGCAAUGGGCGAAAGCUUGACGGAGCAACGCCGCGUGAGUGAUGAAGGUCUUCGGAUCGUAAAACUCUGUUAUUAGGGAAGAACAAAUGUGUAAGUAACUAUGCACGUCUUGACGGUACCGAAUCAGAAAGCCACGGCUAACUACGUG